This 245-nucleotide ribosomal RNA is filed under the name uncultured Phenylobacterium sp. RNAcentral describes it as "partial 16S ribosomal RNA". It matches the Rfam family "Bacterial small subunit ribosomal RNA", at positions 524 to 768 of the family's 1533-position model. Lineage: Bacteria; Pseudomonadati; Pseudomonadota; Alphaproteobacteria; Caulobacterales; Caulobacteraceae. The record is from RNAcentral.
UACGAAGGGGGCUAGCGUUGCUCGGAAUUACUGGGCGUAAAGGGCGCGUAGGCGGAUAUUUAAGUUAGAGGUGAAAGCCCAGGGCUCAACCCUGGAAUAGCCUUUAAUACUGGAUAUCUUGAGUUCGGGAGAGGUGAGUGGAACUCCGAGUGUAGAGGUGAAAUUCGUAGAUAUUCGGAAGAACACCAGUGGCGAAGGCGACUCACUGGCCCGAUACUGACGCUGAGGCGCGAAAGCGUGGGGAG